CCUGCUUUCAUUCUGGAUGGGCAGAGUGUAAGACCAGGCCAGGGGGCUAAAAGGAGUGAGGCAGGAGAAGACCCUAAAAGCCACUGAGGAAUCAAAAUGAGGUGCGAGCAUGAAAUACCUGCGUGAAGCUGCGAGGACCAUGCCUGAUGCAGACGAGGCAGGAGCUCAAUCAAUGCUGGAACAUCAAUAGCAAAUCUCAGCUUCCGUCUGGAAGCUGGCAGCAGCAGCAGCAGCCAGAUGGCCUCUCUUGGAAGCUGUACACUGAAGCCUGUACUUUCCAAGUUCAACUGGCCCCUACUUUUGAAGAUCUCUCUUGGAUACCAGGAAUGGAGCUUUAUGGACGAUCUCACAACUAGCAAUUCACAAUGAAGUUCUGGGGUACGUGAUAAAAGAAGAACUUCAGCUGAAUUAAAUUUAAAGGAGUUUGAGCAAUGAAUAAUUCGCGAAUUGGGCAGCCCCCAGAAUCACAGCAGAUUCACAAAGACUCCAGUGCAACCACGUGGUAGAAGAAGAUUUACAGACAAAAAAAAAAAAAAAAUGGAAAUGACAUACAGAAAUUGGAAGGAGAGUACAGAACUGCCGGUUGGUUACAGUAAGCAGUACAAUCAAUGGAUCUUUGAUGGCUGAGACAGGUUGAAAUGGCAAAAAGACAACAGCACCACUUUUGAAAACGAC
This 675-nucleotide long non-coding RNA is filed under the name Homo sapiens (human). RNAcentral describes it as "HSALNT0380823". The record is from RNAcentral. Lineage: Eukaryota; Metazoa; Chordata; Mammalia; Primates; Hominidae.